RNAcentral lists this ribosomal RNA (450 nucleotides) under uncultured bacterium. RNAcentral's name for it is "partial 16S ribosomal RNA". It matches the Rfam family "Bacterial small subunit ribosomal RNA", at positions 29 to 507 of the family's 1533-position model. The record is from RNAcentral.
AUGAACGCUGGCGGCGUGCCUAACACAUGCAAGUCGAGCGGCAGCGAGGGGUGCUUGCACCCUGUCGGCGAGCGGCGGACGGCUGAGUAACGCGUGGGAACGUGCCCCAAAGUGAGGAAUAACUGCCCGAAAGGGUAGCUAAUACCGCAUAUUAUCUUCGGAUCAAAGGAUUUAUCCGCUUUGGGAGCGGCUCGCGUCGGAUUAGGUAGUUGGUGAGGUAAUGGCUCACCAAGCCGACGAUCCGUAGCUGGUCUGAGAGGAUGACCAGCCAGACUGGAACUGAGACACGGUCCAGACUCCUACGAGAAGCAGCAGUGAGGAAUCUUCCACAAUGGGCGAAAGCCUGAUGGAGCAACGCCGCGUGCAGGACGAAGGCCUUCGGGUUGUAAACUGCUUUUAUAAGUGAGGAAUAUGACGGUAACUUAUGAAUAAGGAUCGGCUAACUACGUG